UGGGUAACCUGCCUCAAAGAGGGGAAUAGCCUCCCGAAAGGGAGAUUAAUACCGCAUAAUAUGUUUAGGUCGCAUGACUUUAACAUCAAAGGAUUUUCUUUUAGAAAUUCCACUUUGAGAUGGACCCGCGGCGCAUUAGCUAGUUGGUGUGGUAACGGCUCACCAAGGCAACGAUGCGUAGCCGACCUGAGAGGGUGAUCGGCCACAUUGGAACUGAGACACGGUCCAGACUCCUAGGGAGG
Molecule: ribosomal RNA, 242 nt
Filed under: uncultured bacterium
Lineage: Bacteria
Description: partial 16S ribosomal RNA
Rfam family: Bacterial small subunit ribosomal RNA
Source: RNAcentral